AACAUGCUACUUGUAUUCAGGGCAGACUUCAGAAAUCACAGGGGAAAAUUGUGAAUUUUGAUAGGAAGAAAAAUGAGAUCUUUAGGAAGUAGAAAUUCAAAAUAUUUUUAAAGAGAUCUCUGAAGGUAACUGGAGAAUGACCUGAGAGUUUACAGUGGAUUAAAACUCAGAAGCUGUCUGGAGGAUGAGAGCAGUGCUUCCUAAAGUAAGUAGCCCCUCACGACUAUUUUAAAUUAACCUUACAAAGCACAGAGAAAAGCAUCCAAUUCAGGAAACUAAAGCAAAGAUAAUGGAGUCCUUGAAGUAUUCAUUUUGUCUUUAAGGAAAAAUUAUAUUACAAGGUAGGUAGCAUUUGCAGUAAAAUACUACACUGAACUGUUUUAAAGUCACCCUAUAUGGUGCCUUUAGCACCCAGUAGCAUUAUUAUUUUGUGGUCUGUAGCUCUGAGUGGCCACUGGUACAUGCAAAAUCUCUACCCACAGAAGCAAGCACUGCUUGCACUUUUCUGAAAGGGCACAUCUCCCAUUCUUAAAUAGAAAAAAUAUUUUUGGACAAUACUGUGAGCUGUUAUAUUGUUGAAACAUUACAUGUUUUACCUCACAACAGACAUUAAGUUUUGAGCAGCAAUGUUAUUACUUGCAGCUAGCUAAUAAGUGGGCAACAGCUGAGAGGAGAGGAUAUCUCUUGGAAAAGUUUGCCAUCUGAGAAGCAGACUUCUGUGAACAUUUUAAUUGCAGCUUCUGAAAAGUAAAGCAUAUGAAAUACCAGCUGCCCUUGUAAGAGAUCAGAAGUCCUUGACCUAAAGAUGUGAUUUAUGAUAAGAAAACUUGAAGCCAGCUGGAUUUUACAAAGCCCAUUUUGCCAUUCGUUAGCUGACCUCUCUCUAGAAGAACACAGCAACAGCUCACAUCAUUGUUCCUGCAUAUAACAGAAGCAAGCAAUAGAACUCCCAUCAGCUUAAUCCCAUUUACAGUGAAUCUAGAAAAGGGACUUUUUCAGCUGUCUAACUAAGCAAAUGAGAAGCUGAAUGACAUGUAACAUUGUUUACUGUAGAAAAUAAUAUUAUGUAAUCAUCAGUCAUGCAGUUUGCAAAGACAAAUAAUUGGUCUGCUGCAAUUAAUAUCCUACUGCUUUGAGGCCUAGCCUAUAAUUCUGCCAGGGGAAGAUGAACAAAUUAAGCUAUUCAGUUGACACGUGGAGUUUAGCCAGGUCAUCUCCCCAGAAUUUCUCUGUUACUCAGUGGAGAGACAAAUGCUCUUCCUAGCAGCCACAGAGUACCAAAAUCUAUUGCCUCCACUGAAUCACCUCUGGGAGAAGCCCAUUUGAAGUCUAGUUGCUCAAAAUUAGAUGAUUUUAGUAUUUCCUUAUAUUCAAUUACACUUAAAUUUAGACAGCAUCUCAGUGAAUACUCCCUGAUAUGUUUGUCAUCAGUUUCAGAUUAACUCCUUUCCAGAAGAGUAGAAUCAAUGAGCUAGGGGCUGAUGCUGCAAUCCUGGCAGUCAAUUCUGUGUUCACAAAAGAAAGGAGAAUGGGGAUGUUUCAUGGUGGCAGUCCAAGCAAGGAAGUCUUUACUUCUGCAGUCCCCAGCUUCCACAAUGAUGCUCACCAGGGAAACGCAACAGGAAGUGCUGAAAUUGUGUGUUCCUAAACUACAAGAUACUUAUUGGA
Pezoporus occidentalis (night parrot) is the source of this 1668-nucleotide long non-coding RNA. RefSeq lists it as uncharacterized. Lineage: Eukaryota; Metazoa; Chordata; Aves; Psittaciformes; Psittacidae. The record is from RefSeq and is a predicted model, not a curated record. The transcript has 3 exons.